AUGGCAGCCCGGAAGGUUGACGCAGCCGAGUUUGAGAUCACAACGGAGAAGGCUUAUAAGAUAUCCUCUCCUGAUGAUCUCGUCCGCUUUGGGAAGCAGUUCAAUGAUUUUAUCGGUGCUUGUCCGGAUGCAUUUGCUGGUCUUAGGUGCCUGUGGCUGCGCAACAUGAGGUUUGGUGAACUGGACAUUCCCAACAUCCUCAGCACUUGCAAGCUCUUGGAGUCUCUGCAUUUAACCUAUUGCGACUCAGGGAUCCAUUCUGUACUCCAAGUAGAACAUGCUCUACUUGUUGAGCUCGAGGUUGACUAUGGGCAAUUUGAGAGAAUCGAGCUGAUAUGUCUACCCAAACUCCAACGGAUCUGGGUUCUACCAGAAUGCCCGAAGCUGCUCACGACUAUGCUCAGCAAACUACAGCAUGUGAAUCUAGACAAUCUUCCUGAAGGAUGUGAUUUAGGUUGGACACCAUUUAUUCUUGAAGCUGCACCCUCCCUAAAAGCGCUGUGCAUCACAGUAUGGGAUCAUUGGUGCAUAAUGGCGACAGACAAAGAGUUUCGGAAGGAAAAUGGUUUCUGCGAAAAGGCAGACGUGAAGUGGAAGCCAUAUGCCGCUGCUUUCAAGCACAAGAAUCUGGCUAAGCUUACCAUAUAUGGCUUACAACCUGACGGCAACUUUAUGCGAUACAUCAGGUGUGUUGUGGAAGCUGCAGUGAAUAUGAUAGAGAUAUCUCUGCAUGACAGAAAGAUGUGUGGACGCUGUGGUGACUUGGAUCCCGAGAUCAAAGACAAGGUUUGUCCAUCAAGAUAUCCACGGACCGCUGAGGAGAGGAAGAGGGCAGUUGAGGGGUUGGGUUUGGCUUCGCCGGCUCUGAUUCACUUUCGGUCCUAA
Molecule: ribosomal RNA, 885 nt
Filed under: Triticum aestivum (bread wheat)
Lineage: Eukaryota; Viridiplantae; Streptophyta; Magnoliopsida; Poales; Poaceae
Description: partial small subunit ribosomal RNA
Source: RNAcentral